Molecule: ribosomal RNA, 482 nt
Filed under: Halicephalobus gingivalis
Lineage: Eukaryota; Metazoa; Nematoda; Chromadorea; Rhabditida; Panagrolaimidae
Description: eukaryotic LSU rRNA
Rfam family: Eukaryotic large subunit ribosomal RNA
Source: RNAcentral
CCCUGUUGAGCUUGACUCUAGUCUGGCUUUGUGAGGAAUCACAAGAGGUGUAGUAUAGGAGGGAGCGUAAGCGACAGUGAAAUACCUCCACUUUUGUCGAUUCUUUACUUAGUUGGUUAAGUGAGGUACCAUUUAUUUGGUUCUUUAUGUAUUGAAAUACAAUGUAUCUACAUUGUAUGACUCUCGCCAAUAACAGUGCCAGGCGGGGAGUUUGACUGGGGCGGUAUAACUGUCAAAUCGUAACGCAGUUGUCCUAAAGCUUACUCAGAAAGGACAGAAACCUUUUGUAGACAAAAGGGUGAAAAGUAUGCUUGAUCUUGAUUCUCAGUACGAAUACAGACCGAAAAAUCGUGGCCUAUCGAUCCUUUUGGAUAUAGAGUUUAUACUAAGAGGUGUCAGAAAAAUUACCAUAGGGAUAACUGGCUUGUGGCAGCCAAGCGUCCAUAGCGACGUUGCUUUUUGAUCCUUCGAUGUCGGCUCUU